Molecule: long non-coding RNA, 651 nt
Organism: Apis florea (little honeybee)
Lineage: Eukaryota; Metazoa; Arthropoda; Insecta; Hymenoptera; Apidae
Source: RefSeq, a predicted model, not a curated record
GUAAAACAUAAAAAAUAGGAUACUAACACAUUUUGAAUAGCUCCAAAAUAUCAAAAAUUAAAAUUGAGGAUCUUAUAUGACACGUUUUGCUGAUUGUAACAAUAAGUAAUUGUAUUUGUAGGCGAAGAAACUAAGCGUAAACAAUAUGUAUAGAUAUAAAUACAAUAUUAAACAGUAAAAAGUUGAUAAGAACAUGAAAUAAAUAAACAACAGCAGACGAGCUUUGGAAAAACCAUGUAUUAUAGAAUAAUAAUAGAUUACAUUAUUCAUGGUAAUAAUGAUAUAAUAAACCAGAAUAUACCUGACAAUAAUAAUAAGAAUCUAAAAUAACACGAAUACUGAAUACAUAUUAUUAACAAUAAUGAGAGGAGGGACUUUGGGGAUGUUUGGCAAAGGAAGGGGCCAAGCCGCUCAGAAUUGUAUUCGAAAUAAAAGAAAAAAGAAGAGAAGACGAGAAGGAAGUAAAUAAAGUUUCUUAGAUAAAAUUAAUAAGAUUUUCUGAUUAAACGUAACAUUUUUGACACGUUUAGUCAUUUGAGCAUUUUAAAAUAAAAAUUGACUAAAUAACUCGACGCAAAACGAUUUCAGUUACGUUUGACAUCCGCUCCUCUUAUCGUAUGCAAAAAAAAAUUAUGUAUUUGUGAAUUAAUA